Molecule: long non-coding RNA, 1682 nt
Organism: Hemicordylus capensis (graceful crag lizard)
Lineage: Eukaryota; Metazoa; Chordata; Lepidosauria; Squamata; Cordylidae
Exons: 3
Source: RefSeq, a predicted model, not a curated record
CACGGAGGUCUGGUGUAGGCCUCUGUGAAGCCUGAACUCCAGUAGGGCCUAAGCCAGCCAGGAAGGAGGAGGCAGCCAGAGAGGCCUCCACUGUUCUCUGCAGCAGAAGACCCCCUGCUGCCAGAUAUCAGGGCAGUGAACAACAGAUGAAUAAACUACAAACUAAUUAAACCAAUGACAGCAAUUUCACUUAAAAAUACAACUGAAGGCCAACAGAGACAGUGACAAAAUCAUUGAAAAGGAAGUCAGGGGACAACUACUCACUGGCCCAAGGCUUGGUGGAAAAGGCAGUCUUCAGUUGCCUCUGAAAGACUGGGAAUCCUUGUGAAUCUUACGUGGCAGCAGGUUCUACAGCCUGGGGGCAAUCACCAAGAAGACCCUGUCCUGUAUGCCUGAGAAAUGAGCUUCUGCAGAAGUUGGUUCUCUUUCUCUGGAGGUUUUCAAAUGGAGGCGGAUCAUCAUUGGCCAGAAAUGCUGUAGUUGUUUCCUGCACCAGAAGCGUAUCUAUGGAAAAUAGCACGGAGGGCAAGCACUGAAAUUACACCCCUGUCCAAACAUCUGAUGCAAACUUAGAAUAAAAACUGCUUUGUUCCAGUAGGGUGGGGGAAAAGUAACUUAGUAGGGGAAUACAAAAACAAGCCUACCUCUCACACAAAAUCAGCACAAGUUUCCUGUAAGAAUUCAGCAGUAAAUUGGGUUUUCCAUUUUGUCCCCAAAAUUGUCACUUCCUUAUUGACUGAGCCAUCCAUGAUUGAUCCCUACAGGGAGCAUAAUUCAUUACAGUAGAGGUUUUCAAAUGUGUGCCCGCUGAUGUUGUUGGACUACAGCUCCCAUAAUCCACAGCCAAAAAACCACUGUGGGUGAUGGAUGUUGUAGUCCAACACCUGGGGACCCAUGUCUGAGAACCCCCUGCACUCAACAACCGAGAAACAAAGAAAUAAUUACUUACACAUUUAUUUUUUACAUUUGUAUUCCACUCUUCUUCUAAGGAACUCCGGGUGGCAUAUAUGGUCUCCCACAUUUUAGUCUCAAACUUGAAAGGGGGACACUCAAAAACAUUCAAAAACCUGAUUCCCACAUGCACCCUGAAGUAAAAGGUAAAAGUAAAGUAUGCAGUUUAGUCGAUUUCUACUCCUGCCGCCCACAGAGCCUUUUUUUGGGGGGUAGAAUACAGGAGGGGUUUACCAACCCUGAAGUGGUACAGUCCAAUCUUUCACCUCAGGGCUAUACCACAUCAUUUUAAUGAAUAUGUAAGCUAGAGCUGCAGUGGAUCCGCCUGUCACAAGCUCUUCAGACUUUGAGUAAAGAUACUUGUAGGGUUUGCAUUCUUACUGUAGCAAAAACUACUUUUAUUUGUUCUUACAAUAAACUCCUUUUGUUAAUUAAAACCUCUCUCCCAAGCCAGUUUUCUUGAGUUCAGACACUUGCACAAAUUAAAACUGCUUGGAACUGUCUUUCCUUUUAAGAUGAAUUCCCCACAUUUGCCCAAACUGGGGGUGCUGACCAAUCAUCCCCAAGGCACUUCCAUCAACAGUACAGGCUGACAAAGCAUGGAGAACUACAUAGUGUAGCGCGCACACAUGUACCCAAUAAACACAGUAUCACAGUUCCAGACUAAACAACAAGUCUGGAAGUGCCCUUCUAUUCCUUUUGGCCAGAGAGAUAUUUGAAUUAAAAAUAUU